AAACCAGGAUUAGAUACCCUAUUAUAUUUAAACAAAUUGGGUAGUAUUAUUAAUAAAAACCUUUAUACUUUGGCGGCAUUUUAUCUUAUUAGAGGAAUAUGUUCAUUAAUCGAAACCACACGAUAGUUUUUACUUACUAUAAAAUUUUAUAUACCCCCGUCUAAAGAAUUUAUUUAAAAUUUUUAUUCCAAAUUAUAUUAAAAAAAGUUAGGUAAAGGUGUAGACUAUUAGUAAGAUUAAAUGUAUUACAUUAAAAAAAAAUUUAAGGAUAAAACAGUUAACUGUUUAUUAAAAGAGGAUUUAUAAGUAAUUUACUUUUAAUAAAAAUUAAUGAAUAAGAAAAUAAAUGUGCACAUAUCGCCCGUCACUCU
RNAcentral lists this ribosomal RNA (371 nucleotides) under Sancus acoreensis. RNAcentral describes it as "partial 12S ribosomal RNA". The record is from RNAcentral. Lineage: Eukaryota; Metazoa; Arthropoda; Arachnida; Araneae; Tetragnathidae.